Molecule: long non-coding RNA, 1921 nt
Filed under: Homo sapiens (human)
Lineage: Eukaryota; Metazoa; Chordata; Mammalia; Primates; Hominidae
Description: HSALNT0367826
Source: RNAcentral
GUAGCUGUGGAAAGCCUGCGCCCCAAGGAGGGACGCGGGGGUGCAGUCGCGGCCCAUUAUCUGUGCCCGGGAAGUCCUGAAGGCUCUAGGAGCUGUCAGAUUAAACCCCCAGACCCACAAGAAAAUCCCUGAAGCUUCGGUGAGCGUGGGAUUUGGCGUGCAGUUGGUUCCGUAUGGUUCCCCAUUAAGACUUGGAAGUCGGCUUACCAAGAUUUCCUCUUACCCUUCGGCUGUGUUGAGUAGAUAUUACACAGACACCCCGCCCAUGACUCUGCUCUUGCAGGAAAACAUUUAUUUCAAAAAUACUGCAACGGUUUCAUCUCUCAUGUCCUUUUAGGUUCUUUCUAGUAAUUGUGAACUUUUCCUCUCAAGUCAUUCCAUCAAAGUCUUGGAAGCAAAUGAAAAAAACAUACUACCCUGAAAUAGAGUUCACAUCUUUCUUUACCAACUUGCCUUUCCCAGGAAGACAUCGUGGUGGGUUUGCAGUUCAGGUUUCCUCACAGCCUCUCCUGGGGGUCUUUUUCCCUCUCUGGUACCUUGAGGCAUAGGACAGAAGGGAGCUGCUGAAGUUUCUGGAUGUCGCUUAUUUUUCACAUUUGUUUUAACUUCUUUUGGCCAGAACUGUGUAUUGUUUUCGCAUAGAUUUCUGCAAUUAGAAUUAUUGUAAUUAGAAAGAAUAAUAAUCUUCAUAUAAGGCUUAGGGUACGCACUACUUUAAGGUCUUUGUAAAUGUGUGCAUAUUCAUUUCUCUCAUCAACUCUGAGGUAGGGGCUAUUCUUACCCCAUUAUUGACCUUUUACAAAUGAGGAAACUGAUGCUUGGAGAAGUUAGAUAACUCGCCCAAGGCCAUUCCUUCUCUAAGAGGAGGAACUGGAAUUUGACCCCAAACUGUCAGUUGACUUUUGCUGAUGGAGCCUCUCUGAAGGGCAAAUUCAAAGUACAGCUGGGUGCUGCAGCACUGGAGUGCGAACUUGUGGCUGUGGUUAUGAAGGAGCCUCGUCAGCUAUGCCUUUAGCCCCUGGUGAAGCAGUGCCAGUCACACUUUGCCAGUCAAACGGAGAGGCAGCAGUAGUAAGACCAGACCAAAUCAAACCAAACCAAGCAAACCACGGGGAAUGGAGGUCAUGUGAGCACACAGCAUAAAGGCAGCUGCCCACAAGCCAGGAAGAGAAGCAUCAUCAGAAACCGACCAUACUGGCUUCCUGAUCUCAGACUUUCAGCCUCCAGAAUGGUGAGAAAUAAAUUUCUGUUGGUUAAGUCACCCAGUCUGUAUUUUGUUAUGGCAGCCCAAGGUGACAAAUAUUGUUUCUCCUUGAUGGCUGUGCAUUUGGAGGGAGCCUCUGUGAGCCCUGACUUUCCUCUAGGAGCAGGUUGGGUAGGAAAGUAACAUCGACCAGCUGAGUGUAGUUCAUACAGAUGUGGACCAGACAGGGCGUGAAAGGUGGAAGGAGAGGACUGGUCCCAAAGGCCAAACACCAAGACUGAAAGGCAAGCUUAGGAGAAAUCGACACUGUUAGGAGGAAUUGACAAAGUAAAUCUUAUGACAAAUUUCAAAAUUAAAAAAUUUAAAAACCCUAAUAGAAAUAAAACGUCUCAUUUGGAUAAUGUUUUAAAUCUUCUAAGUGCUUUUCUAUCUGUCUUCUCAUUGGAUCCUCAGAUUAACGUUUGAAGUUAGAGUUUAUAAUUAUUAUUUAUCUAAGCUUGUCAGAUGAAGAAACUAAGAGCCUAAUAAUUUAAUUAAAUGACUUGCGUAAGUUUUAACAGCUAAUUUGCAACAGAGUAAAUCUUAUGAAAAUUUCAAAAUUAAAAUAUUGUCAUAAUAAUGCAGAAAGUCUAUUUUGGGAAGGCUGGCCAAAAUUAUAAUGGAAAUUUUUUUUAUUUAAAGGGGCCCUUAUUAAUUUGCAAGGCUUUGCUAUGGUUA